UACGUAGGGUGCGAGCGUUGUCCGGAAUUAUUGGGCGUAAAGAGCUUGUAGGCGGUCUGUCGCGUCUGCCGUGAAAAUCCGGGGCUCAACCCCGGACUUGCAGUGGGUACGGGCAGACUAGAGUGUGGUAGGGGAGACUGGAAUUCCUGGUGUAGCGGUGAAAUGCGCAGAUAUCAGGAGGAACACCGAUGGCGAAGGCAGGUCUCUGGGCCACUACUGACGCUGAGAAGCGAAAGCAUGGGGAGCGAACAGG
RNAcentral lists this ribosomal RNA (253 nucleotides) under uncultured bacterium. Its description in RNAcentral is "partial 16S ribosomal RNA". It matches the Rfam family "Bacterial small subunit ribosomal RNA", at positions 524 to 776 of the family's 1533-position model. The record is from RNAcentral.